UACGUAGGGUGCGAGCGUUGUCCGGAAUUAUUGGGCGUAAAGAGCUUGUAGGCGGUUUGUCGCGUCUGCCGUGAAAAUCCGAGGCUCAACCUCGGACUUGCGGUGGGUACGGGCAGACUAGAGUGUGGUAGGGGAGACUGGAAUUCCUGGUGUAGCGGUGAAAUGCGCAGAUAUCAGGAGGAACACCGAUGGCGAAGGCAGGUCUCUGGGCCACUACUGACGCUGAGAAGCGAGAGCAUGGGGAGCGAACAGG
RNAcentral lists this ribosomal RNA (253 nucleotides) under uncultured bacterium. Its description in RNAcentral is "partial 16S ribosomal RNA". It matches the Rfam family "Bacterial small subunit ribosomal RNA", at positions 524 to 776 of the family's 1533-position model. The record is from RNAcentral.